Molecule: ribosomal RNA, 661 nt
Filed under: halophilic archaeon
Lineage: Archaea; Methanobacteriati; Methanobacteriota; Halobacteria; Halobacteriales
Description: bacterial SSU rRNA
Rfam family: Archaeal small subunit ribosomal RNA
Source: RNAcentral
CGUAGCAGAUAGCUCAGUAACACGUGGCCAAACUGCCCUAUAGACGGCGAUAACCUCGGGAAACUGAGGCUAAUAGCCGAUACCGUUCACUACCUGGAGUGGUGUGAACGCGAAACGUUCAGGCGCUAUAGGAUGUGGCUGCGGCCGAUUAGGUAGACGGUGGGGUAACGGCCCACCGUGCCUAUAAUCGGUACGGGUUGUGAGAGCAAGAGCCCGGAGACGGUAUCUGAGACAAGAUACCGGGCCCUACGGGGCGCAGCAGGCGCGAAACCUUUACACUGCACGCGAGUGCGAUAAGGGGACUCCGAGUGCGAGGGCAUAUAGUCCUCGCUUUUCACCACCGUAAGGUGGUGGUGGAAUAAGUGCUGGGCAAGACCGGUGCCAGCCGCCGCGGUAAUACCGGCAGCACGAGUGAUGACCGCUAUUAUUGGGCCUAAAGCGUCCGUAGCUGGCCAUACAAGUCUAUCGGGAAAUCUGCGCGCUUAACGCGCAGGCGUCCGGUGGAAACUGUGUGGCUUGGGACCGGAAGACCAGAGGGGUACGUCCGGGGUAGGAGUGAAAUCCCGUAAUCCUGGACGGACCACCGGUGGCGAAAGCGCCUCUGGAAGACGGAUCCGACGGUGAGGGACGAAAGCUCGGGUCACGAACCGGAUUAGAUACC